Molecule: long non-coding RNA, 632 nt
Organism: Oncorhynchus tshawytscha (Chinook salmon)
Lineage: Eukaryota; Metazoa; Chordata; Actinopteri; Salmoniformes; Salmonidae
Source: Ensembl
AGGCUGAAGUGAUCAUGAACUACCACAUCGGGGAGACUGUGCUGUCACUGCAGAAGACCACACGAAUACCCGGCAGCUUAGAGUCUGGUCUACACAACAGUCUGUUGGCGUCCUGGUGCCCUUCACUUCCCACGAGGACCAUGACGUCUUUCAGCACUUAGAUGCACAUGCGCUCAGAGCCCCCCCCCCCCUCUGUGUGGGAGGGACCACCUCAGCUUCCGCUCCUACUACUUCCCUGUGAAGAAUGUGAUAGACGGAGAUCUGUGUGAGCAGUUCGACUCCAUGGACCCCCACAAGCAGAAGAGUUGCUGAAGAGCUGGACCGUACACCACCUGAGGUCUCAAAGAAACUGGAGGACAUCCGCACACGUUAUGCCUUCUAGAACCCUCGUGUUCUGUACAUGCACAAAUACACUCACACAUACAAACUGUAAUUUACAACAACUGACAUGUUGAGACUGACACCUGUUCCACUGUGUUAACAUGAAGAGGUGGGAGGUGAACACAUUUUUCAAAGUCUUCAUCUGUAGGUGCUUUGAUUUGUCCUCUAGGCCCUGAUUUGUUUGUUAGGCCUAUAAAUACUAUAAUACUAAUAAUAAUCUAUGGUGAAUAUUUACCCUGUGGUUUUCACUC